GAUGAAGAACGCAGCGAAAUGCGAUAAGUAAUGUGAAUUGCAGAAUUCAGUGAAUCAUCGAAUCUUUGAACGCACAUUGCGCCCGCCAGUAUUCUGGCGGGCAUGCCUGUCUGAGCGUCAUUUCAACCCUCAUGCCCCUAGGGCGUGGUGUUGGGGAUCGGCCAAAGCCCGCGAGGGACGGCCGGCCCCUAAAUCUAGUGGCGGACCCGUCGUGGCCUCCUCUGCGAAGUAGUGAUAUUCCGCAUCGGAGAGCGACGAGCCCCUGCCGUUAAACCCCCAACUUUCCAAGGUUGACCUCAGAUCAGGUAGGAAUACCCGCUGAACUUAAGCAUAUCAAUAAACGGAGGA
RNAcentral lists this unclassified non-coding RNA (348 nucleotides) under soil metagenome. RNAcentral describes it as "partial contains 5.8S ribosomal RNA, internal transcribed spacer 2, and large subunit ribosomal RNA". The stretch from base 1 to 120 matches the Rfam family "5.8S ribosomal RNA", at positions 35 to 154 of the family's 154-position model. The record is from RNAcentral.